AAUAGAUACCCUGGUAGUCCACGCCGUAAACGAUGAGUGCUAAGUGUUAGAGGGUUUCCGCCCUUUAGUGCUGCAGCUAACGCAUUAGGCACUCCGCCUGGGGAGUACGGCCGCAAGGCUGAAACUCAAAGGAAUUGACGGGGGCCCGCACAAGCGGUGGAGCAUGUGGUUUAAUUCGAAGCAACGCGAAGAACCUUACCAGGUCUUGACAUCCUCUGACACUCCUAGAGAUAGGACUUUCCCCUUCGGGGGACAGAGUGACAGGUGGUGCAUGGUUGUCGUCAGCUCGUGUCGUGAGAUGUUGGGUUAAGUCCCGCAACGAGCGCAACCCUUGAUCUUAGUUGCCAGCAUUCAGUUGGGCACUCUAAGGUGACUGCCGGUGACAAACCGGAGGAAGGUGGGGAUGACGUCAAAUCAUCAUGCCCCUUAUGACCUGGGCUACACACGUGCUACAAUGGAUGGUACAAAGGGCAGCAAAGCCGCGAGGCCUAGCCAAUCCCAUAAAACCAUUCUCAGUUCGGAUUGGUA
This 528-nucleotide ribosomal RNA is filed under the name uncultured bacterium. RNAcentral's name for it is "bacterial SSU rRNA". It matches the Rfam family "Bacterial small subunit ribosomal RNA", at positions 777 to 1303 of the family's 1533-position model. The record is from RNAcentral.